RNAcentral lists this ribosomal RNA (501 nucleotides) under uncultured bacterium. RNAcentral's name for it is "partial 16S ribosomal RNA". It matches the Rfam family "Bacterial small subunit ribosomal RNA", at positions 30 to 523 of the family's 1533-position model. The record is from RNAcentral.
AUUGAACGCUGGCGGCAUGCCUUACACAUGCAAGUCGAACGGCAGCACGGAGCUUGCUCUGGUGGCGAGUGGCGAACGGGUGAGUAAUAUAUCGGAACGUACCCAAGAGUGGGGGAUAACGUAGCGAAAGUUACGCUAAUACCGCAUACGAUCUCAGGAUGAAAGCAGGGGACCUUCGGGCCUUGUGCCCCUGGAGCUGCCGAUAUCUGAUUAGCUAGUUGGUGGGGUAAAGGCCCACCAAGGCAACGAUCAGUAGCUGGUCUGAGAGGACGACCAGCCACACUGGAACUGAGACACGGUCCAGACUCCUACGGGAGGCAGCAGUGGGGAAUAUUGGACAAUGGGGGGAACCCUGAUCCAGCCAUGCCGCGUGUGUGAAGAAGGCCUUAUGGUUGUAAAGCACUUUAAGCGAGGAGGAGGCUCUUUUGGUUAAUACACAAGAUGAGUGGACGUUACUCGCUGAAUAAGCACCGGCUAACUCUGUGCCAGCAGCCGCCGCAG